This 2105-nucleotide long non-coding RNA is filed under the name Heterocephalus glaber (naked mole-rat). RNAcentral's name for it is "lncRNA (ENSHGLG00000042618.1)". Lineage: Eukaryota; Metazoa; Chordata; Mammalia; Rodentia; Bathyergidae. The record is from RNAcentral.
GGCAAAUCCGAAGUCGAGUUUUUAUUGGUUGAGUCGAUUAGGUGGGAUUUCUGAUUGGAUUAGGCCUGGGAUCAGAUCCCAUCCCCGGAAGUGGGAGUGGUUCUGCUCUCAGUCUGGGUCUCGAGCAGCUGUGUGGUAGGACUGUGGAACGGGUAGCGGCCGCCAGCUAAGUCCUUUACACUCUCCGUGCCCUCCGCGCCCUCGGCUCUCCUGGGCCCAGGCGUUCUGUUGAGGUUUCCGGGGUCUCCACCGAGCCAUACCCUCUGCGCUCACCUUCACGGCGUAAGCCACGUGGAGCUGACGUCCUGAGGGCGUCGGGCGGUGGACCAGGCGGUCCUAGGAGAGAUAGGCUGGGGGCCGCUGCCCCGAGCCCAGCUACACCGCCUGGCGGUUGCGGUUCUUCUACUGUCAGCCGCGCUAGGGCACAUCUGGAACCAAAGCUGCAUUUCACUGAGUGUUAAGAGCAGCAGGGCCGGAGAUUUAGCUCGGUGGUUCCGUCGCCUGCCUCUCAAGCGCAAGGUCCCGAGUUCGAUACACGGUGCCAAAAAAGAACAGCAGGCUCCACAGACAGAACCAUUCACUGCUGGGAUCUGGAAAAUUGCUGAGAGUUCACUUUACAGCAUCUAUACGCUGCCCAGGGAUGGACAUGGAACCGGGCCGACCCACUUCCAGGCCUGGUAGGCUGGUGUAGAGCUGCUCCCCUUCCUUCUGGUGUCCUAUCCCCUCUUCAUUCCUGAGAACUCUGGGACGGAUCGCUAUUCCUGAUUUUAUGGAUGAAGAAGUGAAGAGACAGAAAUUAAACAGCCAGCCUGGAGUUACAGAGGCCUUUCAAGCCUAGAAGUGACUCUGUUAAGCCAGUGUUCACCUUAAAUAAAUCCUCCUGAUUCCCAUUGGUCUCUCCUGUCUCUUGGAAUUCUGCAAUAGGGUGAAUUUCCUGGCAGGACCUAAGAGCAACAGCUGCUUCUGAACUGGGGCCCCAACAGUCCAGAGAACAUGGAUGAGCCCAACUUGGGUGGAGGACAGAAACCUUACUGGAAAGAGGACCUACACCCUAGCCGGCUGCUGACAGCUACCAUCUCUACCCUGUGAAGCCAGAUCCCUUAGACCUUCUGCCUCCUGAUAUGGACUCACACAAGACACUACAGUGAGCUCCAGGCCUCGACUGGAUCCUUCAGAUCUCCAGCACAGAGACAGCCCUUUUGCACUUUUACACACCUGACACUGCAGGCAGCCACUGUAAGCCAAUCUUGUAAAUUCUCAGCUAUUUGUAUAUCUUGCAUUAAAUCUAUUUCUCUAGUAUGCACUCUUACAAGGACCAAACAAUUUAGCUAAGAAAAAUGAAAACACGCCCACAAAGGAGUUAUAUCGUAGAACGUUCAUAGCAGAUUCAUUCCUCACAGCCCCAGACUGGGGAACAGCUCACAGUCAUGGAGUAGAGCAUGGAUGAAGAAAGGUGGGCUCUCUCCGUGAGCCACAGUUGUGUUUUCUGAGGGUUCCAGUGACCUGCAGUCAACUGUGGCUGGAAAUCCCAGAAGCCUAACAGGCCAUGAGUUUUAAGCUGUGCACCCUUCUGAGGGAUGCCAGCUCUUCAGCCCCUGGAUGAAAUCCUUUUGAGCCACCAGCUUUUGUCUCCCUGCAGGAACAGCAAAUGCUCAGCAUGACAAGGUGGGCCUGUGGCGUCUGCCACUAUUAGGGGGUGUCUGCUCCUCUUCUCCUUCGACUGCCUUGGUCUGGUGGAUUCUUCAUUUUUCUGCAAAGUCCCCUCUGAGGUCCCCUGUCAUUGGAUCAGCCAACACUGGAUUCAGGCAUCUCAAACAGAAACCAAAAUGUAAAUGGCACUGUGGGUAAAGAGGGUGCUGGAUGUCAGCUCAAGUGGGUGCUGUUCUACCUGGCUAUAGGGUUGGAGGCUUCAGGAAGACCUGUUGUCAUGGGUGCAUGGUCGUGGACAUGGCACCAGCAGGGACUCUUCCCACCUGUUGCCUGGAGGUGCCUUGCUUAGUCUUCCAAUCCUCUCUCUCUGUGCUUUGGAAGUGAGGUCCACGGAGGAGAAAUGUGGCAGAGAUAUAGCAGAGGACAGUGACAAGCACUUCUGUCCUGGGACUCAG